RNA transcript from Falco peregrinus (peregrine falcon), 5758 nucleotides. It is a transcript of the gene named TSC22 domain family member 1, with no coding region annotated. The transcript is spliced from 3 exons. The record is from RefSeq and is a predicted model, not a curated record. Lineage: Eukaryota; Metazoa; Chordata; Aves; Falconiformes; Falconidae.
GACUCAGCCGCAGACAUUAGUGCUAGGAAGAUGGCGCACCCGGCAAUGUUUCCUAGAAGGGGCAGCAGCAGUAGCAGCGGCAGCAGCUGCGUUACUGCUCCCACUGCACCAGGUACCGGCGUUGGGAGCGCUGCCCUCUCUGCCGAGGAUUAUCAGCCGCCUUUGCUGGUCCAGCCGCCGCCUCCAUCUCCUGCAGCAUCUUCAUCAGUGGGUCCACAGCCGACACCCCCUCCUCCACAAAGCCUGAACCUCCUCUCACAGUCUCAGCUCCAGCCGCAGCCUCUUGCACAGAGUGGAGCUCAAAUGAAAAAGAAAAGUGGCUUCCAAAUUACCAGUGUGACCCCUGCUCAAAUAUCAGCGAGUAUGAGCUCUAAUAACAGCAUAGCUGAGGAUACAGAAAGCUACGAUGACCUGGACGAGUCCCACACUGAAGACCUGUCGUCUUCAGAAAUCUUGGAUGUUUCUUUAUCUAGGGCCACUGACUUGGGAGAACCCGAGAGGAGCUCCUCUGAAGAGACUUUAAAUAACUUCCAAGAGGCAGAGACUCCUGGGGCUGUUUCUCCAAACCAGCCUCAUCUUCCUCAGCAGCAUGCUCCUCUGCCUCAUCACCCACAGCAGAGUGUUGUGAUCAAUGGAAGUGUUCACCCCCAUCAUGUUCACCACCACCACCAUCUUCACCACCACCACCAUGGACACCAUCAUCCAUCACAUCCUGGGGUGGGCAGUGCCCCAGUUUCUGGAGGACCACCACCCAGUCCAUCAUUUAGAAAACUGUCAACAACUGGAAGCUCUGACAAUGUUAUAUCAACUGCACCAGUUUCUGCUGCAUCAUCCACUGGUUCCCCGGCAUCUGUCGUCUCUAAUAUCCGCACUACAAGUACUCCUGGCAAUUUAGGUGUAAGUCCUGCUACUGGAACUAGUACCUUAAAUAAUAUGGGUGGUGGUAGUUCUAGUGUGGCAAGCAGUGUGCUUGGUACUAUAAAUUUAAGCAACAUCACAAGUACUGGUAAUGUAAAUGCUUUGUCUGGAACUAGCAGCAGUGUUAAUGUGAAUAUCUUGAGUGGUGUUGGCAAUGGUACGAGUGCUUCCUCUAGUGUCAUUAACAAUGUUACUAAUCCAACUGCAGGAAUGGCAGUGGGAUCAAGCCAGCAGCCGCCUGCAUCUGGCACAUCAAGGUUUAGGGUUGUAAAAUUAGAUUCUAGUUCUGAACCUUUCAAAAAAGGUAGAUGGACAUGCACUGAAUUCUAUGAUAAAGAAAACACUGUUGCAGUUUCAGAAGGAGUAGCAGUAAACAAAGCAGUAGAGACGAUAAAACAAAACCCGCUUGAAGUGACUUCUGAAAGGGAGAGCACCAGUGGGAGUUCUGUUAGCAGCAAUGUAAGCACACUGAGUCACUAUACAGAAAGUGUGGGAAGUGGAGAAAUGGGAGCACCUACUGUGGUACAGCAGCAAGCGUUUCAAGGUGUGGGUCCGCAGCAGAUGGAUUUUAGCAGCGCUGCUCCUCCAGCAAUUCCAGCAUCUAGUAUACCACAGAGUGUUUCUCAAUCACAGCUUGCACAAGUCCAGCUGCAUUCUCAAGAAGUAAACUAUCCACAGCAGAAGCCAGGGGUCCAACCUUCUGCACAGGCCAGUCUAACCACUGUUACUGGGGUUCAGCCAGCCCCAGUUAAUAUACUAGGUGUAUCCCCAUCUCUGGGCCACCAGCAACCUGCCAUUCAAAGUAUGGCUCAACAGCCGCUACCAUAUUCUCAGCCGGCGCAGCCUGUGCAGACUUUGCCAGUUGUGCAGCAACAGCAGUUGCAGUAUGGACAACAGCAACAGCAGCAGCAACAGACAGUUCCUACGCAGAUGGCUGCUGGUCAUGUUAAGCCGGUGAACCAAAACUCUGUUGCGGGGGCUAUGCCAGACUACAUUCAACAUCAGCAGAUCCUUCAGCCUCCAGCCCCUGCCAUGCAGCCUGGUUCUACUGGAGUAGGAGCAGGGCAGCCGGUUCCCGUUGCCCAGGCACAGGGCAUGCAGCCUUCAGUACAAGCACAUCCAGCCACUGCCCCAGCCCAGCCUGUUGCACAUGCUCCGGCAGCAAUACCAGGUGUAGGUACCAGUGGUCAAAUGCUGAAUGUUGGGCAGCAAGGAAGCGUAGCUGCUGUGGUGCAGCCACCGUCUGCUGCAAACCAAAUUCCACCUCCAGUUAUGCCGUCAACGGCUGCUCCUCCAUCUUCACAAGUAGUGCAGCCUGUGCAGACAGGAAUAAUGCAGCAGGGAGUACAGGCUGGUGCUUCAGGCCUUGCUCAGCAAAUGGUCAUUGCUCAGCAAAACACCUUGUUACCUGUACAGCCACAGGCACAAGGAGUGGAAUCUGUAGUCCAAGGGAUGACUGGCCAGCAGCUGCCUGCGGUUAGCCCUAUACCUUCUGUUCCUGCACCAAGUCAAGCUGGUUCAGCUGUGCCCCCUGGCAUACCUUCUGCUUCUAUAGGUUUGGGACAGCCACAGAAUAUAGCACAAGCUUCGGCUGUGCAGAAUGGGAAUUUGGCUCAAAGUGUUAGUCAGCCUCCCUUGAUAUCAACAAGUAUAGGUAUGCCAGUGGCACAGAGUGUGCCACAGCAGAUACCGCUAAGCUCUACCCAGUUCCCCACACAAUCACUAGCUCAGUCAAUUGUAAGCCAAGUUGAAGAUGGCAGACGCCCUACGGAACCUUCCCUGGUGGGUUUACCUCAAGCUGCCAGUGGCGAGAGUGGUGUUGGAGCAUCAGCUGUUUCAGAUGGCGGUAGCAGCAAUAUGCCAUCCUCUGCUUCCCUCUUUCCGCUGAAGGUGCUGCCGUUGACAACACCUCUUGUAGAUGGUGAGGAUGAGAGUCUUUCUGCCUCCCUAUCCUGGAAGUAUGGAGUCCCUGCCUCAGCCUACGGCUUCAUUCUUUUUCCAGCUGCCCACAAAGGUAAAGAACCAGUGUGAGUUUGAAGAAAGAAUCCGCUCAGAGGACUGAGUCUCAAGCAAAAGCUCCAGGUUGCAGACUCAGAAAGAAACAAAGAAACUUCCUUUGGGGAAGGAUCUGCUUCCAGGAUUUGCUCGCCUCUUUUUCCUUGGGCAAACAGAGUUCUUGAAGCAAACAACAGGGUUGCAGAGGAGCCUGUGGCUGCUGGGUUUAAGUCCUGUUUCUUUGUCCAUAUGAAGGGAGUAGACUGGAACAUCCUGAUUAAGGGGAUGUGCUGCUAACCCACAUGAUCAGCAAUCCCUCAGGCUCAGAGAAGGGGAAUCAGUAGAAUCAGCUCAGGUAAAUUCUGCCUUUCUCACUUCGUGCUGUGCAGAGCAACAGCCUCUUCCUUGCAAGCAUCGAUAGCCCACAGUCAGACCUUUCUUUUUCCAGCUGUGUCAUUGCUGGCACAGGAAGUUUAUUCUAAAUUUCCUUCUGACUUUUAGCAAAAGGAAUCACUUGAAAACUGGCAAUGAAAUUCUAAGGAGAUUUUACCAGUUCCUCUUUCAUGCUGAGUUGGUCAUUUGGAACUAUGUUACAUACAUUAUUACUUUUGGUGCAUCUUGUGACUCUUCUCUCCUUCUUCAUUCCCUCCAAAUUGCUUCAGGACACCUUCUAACCUUUAUACUGCAUCACAAGCCUUCAGCAGAAGAUCUUGAGAGCCAUUUAUGUUGCUGGAAGAUGACUGGGUUUGGAUCUUGGCCUUCCUUAAGCAGGAUCUCCUGACAAAAAUGGGAUUGGGAAAGAAAUGACUCCUUUUUCCAUCACACAGAGCUACCCUAGAAAUGGAGGCCUAGGCAGAAAAUUACUUCUAAUGCAUAAUUCUUAAGGAAAUUUGUUUGGUCUCCCACGGUCCUUUUGUUACAAUGUCAUAAAGAUGACUUUUAUAAAACCUAAACCUGGCAUCUUCCUAUCUGAAGAUCAAGUUAAAUCCAAAGUUUACAAGUUAAAAGUUUACAAGUCUCAUGUGAUCAGAUCUUGCUGUCCCCUGCAUAGGAGAUGCCACAUGAAGCUGUGAAACAGGGUUCUGCUGUGGUUCAGACUGUUACAUUUGUGAAGAUUUGUCCACUUAUAGUCCAUUUAAAUGAUUAGCAAUAAUACUAAUGAAGCUUCUUGUGCAAAUGGUAUUUAAUUAGGCUUCUACCUCUCCAAGUUUACUUAAAAAUAAAUUUGAGCCAGAAAUGUCACAAUGGGCAAUAUGAUGGGAAGUACAGCAUUUUUUCAGGUUUCCUGUGGUUUUCUGUUGAAAAGGUACAUUGGAAGUGAAAAAACUUAGUUUUUUGAUAUUUUUUUUAAGAGUGAAAUGUUACUUGUUAGAAAGCAGAAAGCUUUUAAUUGUUUUCCCCCUAAGGGAUUCUAUAGUCAAACUUAAUUAAAUGUCUUGUGAGAUCUCAAAUAAAAACCUUAUGUUUGGCAGUAGUAGUAAACAACACACACAUAUCUGUGUACUUUUGUUCUUUUUGUUAUAGGAAAUCAGUUUUGAAGAAUAGGGCUGACUUUUAAUGUUCAGGUUAGGAACGGGGAAAGCUUUGUUCUGAAGCUGACCAAGAAGGGGUGGCAGGAGGGUGAACCGGACCCUCUGGCAGUAGGUAGAGAGCACUUUUCCUGUUUUCUGCUUCUGGCAGUUGGAGUAAACUAAUCAGAUGCUUGUGCUUGAAUCCAAUUAAUGUCUUAAAUCAGUUACCACAAAACAUUGUUUUUUAACUAAUGCCUAGAUCUUUCAUUAAGUUCACCUGCAUAUUUAAAUUGUUGAACAGUCUUAACUUAGCCCUCAGGCUACUGCUUCAUGGCAGUUGGGCCUUCUUUACUAUGCUGGAAUGCAUUGUAGUCUUAGUACAUUCUAAAAAUAAUUGUUCAGAUGGUGCUGUUCAAGUACAUACUUAUGUAGUGAGCCAUUUUCACUGGACUUUCUGAAAUCUGGCUCUGCUGGAUGGCUUUUUAAUAUCUUUUUUUGCUGUGAGUAUCAAAACUACUUUGUCUUGCUGCUUCUGUGGUUGAGUAAAAUGCUAAAUUUAUAACCUGGUAUUUCUAGAAAACUGAUAGUUGGAUGUGUGUGUUAAACUAUGCAACAACAGUAACACUUGUGAACUUUGAAGUUUAAAGAGAAAUCAAUUUAAUUCGAUUUAAUGUAACAAAUACUUUUUUAAUAUGUGGAAAUGUGUAUGUGAUGACCUUAAAAUUGAGUGGUUGUUAUAAGUAUAGGCAUGAAUUGUGUGCUGAACAGGAGUCAUCUAGAAGUUAAAAGCUGAAGAUCUGUGAGUCUCAGAAAGAAAUACUAACAUCUGUGGCUAGAGAUCUGUGCCAGCAGUGCUUUUAGUUGAAAAUGCCUGUUUUUCUGACUUGUAGUCCUUUUAAAGUUUGAUACCUUUUGUACCUUCCUUAAUAGGUAUACUUGCCUUAGCCAUAGUUUUUGGUCAUUUUGUUCUGUAGUAUGUUAAAUUUAAAACUAUCAAAUACUUACGAAUGCUAAAUGCUUAUAAUAAAACAACAGGGGCACUGAGAACUGUUUCUAAUGUUAUUGUCUCAGUUGCUAAAAUUAGUUCACUCCCCUGUCCCCCCAUAUUUAUGAUUGGAGAAAAAAAAAACCCAACUACCCAAAACACAAACCAAAAUAUUUGUUGCUAUUCUGCAGUCAGAUACUCCUUGUCUUAUCAGCAUUGUGUUAGCAUAUUACUAUCAUGCUCUGAGUUUUGCAACUUGGAAUCCUGGGUUCUUGAUAUAUCUUUAGAGGAAUAACUCCUGCCUUUGUGUUAUUAAAUAAUAAAGAUGUCUAAAACCAUUUUCUUCUUG